RNAcentral lists this microRNA precursor (82 nucleotides) under Branchiostoma floridae (Florida lancelet). Its description in RNAcentral is "mir-2060 microRNA precursor family". It matches the Rfam family "mir-2060 microRNA precursor family", at positions 11 to 94 of the family's 94-position model. The record is from Rfam by way of RNAcentral. Lineage: Eukaryota; Metazoa; Chordata; Leptocardii; Amphioxiformes; Branchiostomatidae.
GUGUGGGUGGUGUUCAGCAACAAGGACAGGUGUUGGCCUGUGUGUGGAUGGUGUUCAGCACCAGGGACAGGUGUGCUUACCU